Molecule: ribosomal RNA, 453 nt
Filed under: uncultured bacterium
Lineage: Bacteria
Description: bacterial SSU rRNA
Rfam family: Bacterial small subunit ribosomal RNA
Source: RNAcentral
AACGAACGCUGGCGGCAGGCCUAACACAUGCAAGUCGAACGCCCGUAGCAAUACGGGAGUGGCAGACGGGUGAGUAACGCGUGGGAACGUGCCCUUCGGUUCGGAAUAACUCAGGGAAACUUGAGCUAAUACCGGAUACGUCCGUAAGGAGAAAGAUUUAUCGCCGAAGGAUCGGCCCGCGUCGGAUUAGCUAGUUGGUGAGGUAACGGCCCACCAAGGCGACGAUCCGUAGCUGGUCUGAGAGGANGAUCAGCCACAUUGGGACUGAGACACGGCCCAAACUCCUACGGGAGGCAGCAGUGGGGAAUAUUGGACAAUGGGCGAAAGCCUGAUCCAGCCAUGCCGCGUGAGUGAUGAAGGCCUUUAGGGUUGUAAAGCUUCUUUUACCCGGGAAGAUAAUGACGGUACCGGGAGAAUAAGCCCCGGCUAACUUCGUGCCAGCAGCCGCGGUAA